This 450-nucleotide ribosomal RNA is filed under the name uncultured Oceanospirillaceae bacterium. Its description in RNAcentral is "bacterial SSU rRNA". It matches the Rfam family "Bacterial small subunit ribosomal RNA", at positions 354 to 796 of the family's 1533-position model. Lineage: Bacteria; Pseudomonadati; Pseudomonadota; Gammaproteobacteria; Oceanospirillales; Oceanospirillaceae. The record is from RNAcentral.
GUGGGGAAUAUUGGACAAUGGGGGCAACCCUGAUCCAGCCAUGCCGCGUGUGUGAAGAAGGCCUUCGGGUUGUAAAGCACUUUCAGAUGUGAGGAAAGGUGUGUGGUUAAUACCCGCAUACUGUGACGUUAACAUCAGAAGAAGCACCGGCUAACUCCGUGCCAGCAGCCGCGGUAAUACGGAGGGUGCAAGCGUUAAUCGGAAUUACUGGGCGUAAAGCGCACGUAGGUGGUUUGGUCAGUCAGAUGUGAAAGCCCCGGGCUCAACCUGGGAACUGCACCUGAUACUGCCAGACUAGAGUACGGUAGAGGGUAGUGGAAUUUCCGGUGUAGCGGUGAAAUGCGUAGAGAUCGGAAGGAACACCAGUGGCGAAGGCGACUGCCUGGACCGAUACUGACACUGAGGUGCGAAAGCGUGGGUAGCAAACAGGAUUAGAAACCCUAGUAGUCC